AAAAAUUUCUAUGUGUAUUACAUCGUCAUAAACUUCUAUUUCAUUACAUCAAAGGAUAAUUUUUAAUACGGUAAUCAAUGUCUAUGACCGGGGGAUUCGGUUCCACAUGGCGGCCGUCGACGGUUACGCGCUGGAUUCCUCCUUCCUCUAGCUUCCGGCGGCGGUUGUUCUUCCUCGGGUGGUGAUUGUUGUUCUUCCGGUUCGGCAUCUGCUUGUCGGACUUGGGACGAUGAUCCACCUUCAAAGAAUAGUGUAUGUGGAGGUGUUUGCAUCAUGAACGGCGACGGAGUUUGAA
Molecule: long non-coding RNA, 295 nt
Filed under: Gossypium raimondii (Peruvian cotton)
Lineage: Eukaryota; Viridiplantae; Streptophyta; Magnoliopsida; Malvales; Malvaceae
Description: long non-coding RNA (GRAI_LNC006943)
Source: RNAcentral